CCUACGGGUGGCAGCAGUAGGGAAUAUUGCUCAAUGGGGGAAACCCUGAAGCAGCAACGCCGCGUGGAGGAUGAAGGCUUUCGGAUUUUAAACUCUUUUUGUUAGAGAAGAUAAUGACGGUAUCUAACAAAUAAGCACCGGCUAACUCCGUGCCAGCAGCCGCGGUAAUACGGAGGGUGCAAGCGUUACCCGGAAUCAUUGGGCGUAAAGAGUGCGUAGGCGGGAUAGCAAGUCAGAUGUGAAAUCCUAGGGCUUAACCCUAGAACUGCAUUUGAAACUGUUAUUCUAGAGUAUGGGAGAGGUAGAUGGAAUUCUUGGUGUAGGGGUGAAAUCCGUAGAGAUCAAGAGGAAUA
This 353-nucleotide ribosomal RNA is filed under the name uncultured bacterium. RNAcentral's name for it is "partial 16S ribosomal RNA". It matches the Rfam family "Bacterial small subunit ribosomal RNA", at positions 338 to 708 of the family's 1533-position model. The record is from RNAcentral.